RNAcentral lists this ribosomal RNA (490 nucleotides) under uncultured bacterium. Its description in RNAcentral is "partial 16S ribosomal RNA". It matches the Rfam family "Bacterial small subunit ribosomal RNA", at positions 30 to 507 of the family's 1533-position model. The record is from RNAcentral.
AUUGAACGCUGGCGGCAGGCCUAACACAUGCAAGUCGAACGGUAACAGGAAACAGCUUGCUGUUUCGCUGACGAGUGGCGGACGGGUGAGUAAUGUCUGGGAAACUGCCUGAUGGAGGGGGAUAACUACUGGAAACGGUAGCUAAUACCGCAUAACGUCGCAAGACCAAAGAGGGGGACCCUCGGGCCUCUUGCCAUCGGAUGUGCCCAGAUGGGAUUAGCUUGUUGGUGGGGUAACGGCUCACCAAGGCGACGAUCCCUAGCUGGUCUGAGAGGAUGACCAGCCACACUGGAACUGAGGCACGGUCCAGACCCCUACGGGAGGCAGCAGUGGGGAAUAUUGCACAAUGGGCGCAAGCCUGAUGCAGCCAUGCCGCGUGUAUGAAGAAGGCCUUCGGGUUGUAAAGUACUUUCAGCGGGGAGGAAGGGAGUAAAGUUAAUACCUUUGCUCAUUGACGUUACCCGCAGAAGAAGCACCGGCUAACUCCGUG